This 506-nucleotide ribosomal RNA is filed under the name uncultured bacterium. Its description in RNAcentral is "bacterial SSU rRNA". It matches the Rfam family "Bacterial small subunit ribosomal RNA", at positions 8 to 526 of the family's 1533-position model. The record is from RNAcentral.
AGAGUUUGAUCCUGGCUCAGGACGAACGCUGGCGGCGUGCUUAACACAUGCAAGUCGAACGGGCUUGUUCUUUCGGGAGCAAGUUAGUGGCGAACGGGUGAGUAACACGUGGGUAAUCUGUCCUGUACUUUGGGAUAAGCCUGGGAAACUGGGUCUAAUACCGAAUAUUCACUGUCGGGGGCAUCCUUGGUGGUGGAAAGUUUUGGCGGUACAGGGUGGGCCCGCGGCCUAUCAGCUUGUUGGUGAGGUAAUGGCUUACCAAGGCGGCGACGGGUAGCCGGCCUGAGAGGGCGACCGGCCACACUGGGACUGAGACACGGCCCAGACUCCUACGGGAGGCAGCAGUGGGGAAUAUUGCACAAUGGGCGCAAGCCUGAUGCAGCGACGCCGCGUGAGGGAUGACGGCCUUCGGGUUGUAAACCUCUUUCACCAUUGACGAAGCCUUCGGGUGACGGUAGGUGGGGAAGAAGCACCGGCUAACUACGUGCCAGCCGCCGCGGUAAUAC